GAUGCGAGCGUUAUCCGGAUUUAUUGGGUUUAAAGGGUGCGCAGGCGGCCUGUUAAGUCAGCGGUAAAAGCCCGGGGCUCAACCCCGGCGAGCCGUUGAAACUGGCAGACUUGAGUUGGCGAGAAGUACGCGGAAUGCGCGGUGUAGCGGUGAAAUGCAUAGAUAUCGCGCAGAACUCCGAUUGCGAAGGCAGCGUACCGGCGCCAGACUGACGCUGAGGCACGAAAGCGUGGGGAUCGAAC
This 242-nucleotide ribosomal RNA is filed under the name uncultured bacterium. Its description in RNAcentral is "partial 16S ribosomal RNA". It matches the Rfam family "Bacterial small subunit ribosomal RNA", at positions 531 to 773 of the family's 1533-position model. The record is from RNAcentral.